UAGGGAAUCUUCGGCAAUGGACGAAAGUCUGACCGAGCAACGCCGCGUGAGUGAAGAAGGUUUUCGGAUCGUAAAACUCUGUUGGUAGAGAAGAACGUUGGUGAGAGUGGAAAGCUCAUCAAGUGACGGUAACUACCCAGAAAGGGACGGCUAACUACGUCGCC
RNAcentral lists this ribosomal RNA (164 nucleotides) under uncultured bacterium. Its description in RNAcentral is "partial 16S ribosomal RNA". It matches the Rfam family "Bacterial small subunit ribosomal RNA", at positions 355 to 509 of the family's 1533-position model. The record is from RNAcentral.